RNAcentral lists this long non-coding RNA (412 nucleotides) under Setaria viridis. RNAcentral's name for it is "long non-coding RNA (SVIR_LNC000883)". The record is from RNAcentral. Lineage: Eukaryota; Viridiplantae; Streptophyta; Magnoliopsida; Poales; Poaceae.
CCUGUUUCGUCCAAAUUGAAAAAAGAUUAGUGAAAACUAGUUGGUGGAGUAAAAAUACUAUGUGUAGAGCCCACUAAAGUAAUUUAGCAUAAAAACACUCAAAGAAAAAGAUGGUUAAUGGUUUCCACAACUACAAAAAUCGCAGUAUUAUUACCAUUCCAAUUUCUUCUUGCUAAAAUAUAAGUCUGGCAAAUUCUAACAAAGAACUAAACCAGAAGUAAAAAUGCAUGAUAUGUGUACCUAUUCACCCCGCAUCCACAUAUUGCAACAGCACAAAUUACAGAAAAAUUAAAUGAGCAACAUAAAGGAAGUUUUAAGAUGUUACCUCAAAUUUAAAGAACAAGUUAAUAGCUCUUGCACCAUGCAUUGCAAAAUACUAAAAAUGAAAAUGUAUAGUAUCAGUUACUCCCUC